ACACAUGCAGUCGAACGGUGAAAGAGAGCUUGCUCUCUGGAUCAGUGGCGAACGGGUGAGUAACACGUGAGCAAUCUGCCCCUGACUCUGGGAUAAGCGCUGGAAACGGCGUCUAAUACCGGAUACGAGCUGCGAAGGCAUCUUCGGCAGCUGGAAAGAAUUUCGGUCAGGGAUGAGCUCGCGGCCUAUCAGCUAGUUGGUGAGGUAAUGGCUCACCAAGGCGUCGACGGGUAGCCGGCCUGAGAGGGUGACCGGCCACACUGGGACUGAGACACGGCCCAGACUCCUACGGGAGGCAGCAGUGGGGAAUAUUGCACAAUGGGCGCAAGCCUGAUGCAGCAACGCCGCGUGAGGGACGACGGCCUUCGGGUUGUAAACCUCUUUUAGCAGGGAAGAAGCGAAAGUGACGGUACCUGCAGAAAAAGCACCGGCUAACUACGUGCCAGCAGCCGCGGUAAUACGUAGGGUGCAAGCGUUAUCCGGAAUUAUUGGGCGUAAAGAGCUCGUAGGCGGUUUGUCGCGUCUGCUGUGAAAACCCGAGGCUCAACCUCGGGCCUGCAGUGGGUACGGGCAGACUAGAGUGCGGUAGGGGAGAUUGGAAUUCCUGGUGUAGCGGUGGAAUGCGCAGAUAUCAGGAGGAACACCGAUGGCGAAGGCAGAUCUCUGGGCCGUAACUGACGCUGAGGAGCGAAAGGGUGGGGAGCAAACAGGCUUAGAUACCCUGGUAGUCCACCCCGUAAACGUUGGGAACUAGUUGUGGGGUCCAUUCCACGGAUUCCGUGACGCA
RNAcentral lists this ribosomal RNA (787 nucleotides) under unidentified microorganism. Its description in RNAcentral is "bacterial SSU rRNA". It matches the Rfam family "Bacterial small subunit ribosomal RNA", at positions 51 to 850 of the family's 1533-position model. The record is from RNAcentral.